CGGAGCACAGCCUGACGCAGGGAUGGGAGACCCAAAGGGAUGCUGCGGUGCUGCAAAAAACAAGACCAUUCCUUGGAAAUUCAGACUGAGGCCACACAACAGCAGAGCCCAGCUGAUGCCAUCAACACAACUAGGAAUCUCUUAGCACUCACCUGCAAGCAAAUCUCCAUGUAAGUGAUGAGACUGGAGCCAAUACACGAACAAGAAGGAUCUGGGGACUCCCAAGCUCCCUUCCAAAGCCAGCAGAGUUGUAUGAGCUGCUACCUUAGCAUCUCCUUGGAGCUGGGCCAGCACAUCAAGGGUGAAGAGGAGUUGAAUCCUGCCUUUAGCUCUGGCCCUGGUUUUCCACGUGGGGUUCCUCUUCCAAUGAAUGCAGCCACACACCACUCCAGAUGUUCAAAGAGGGACCAGCCUCCCACAGACCCUAUGGGAAUGAUGAACAAAAGGACAGUGAGCAACGACGUGUCUUCAAAUCUUCAGUUCACAAGCCACCAUGAGCUGUUUGCCCUGUACGUUAUAGGAAGCAAAGCAUAAUCUCAGCUGGGUCACAGGUGAACAAGUAGGUGCUGUUGCCCUCAGGCAGCUUGACGGGAUACCAUCACCUACUGGACACAGCGUGUUAAAGAUGAACCUCCUUUAAAAUAGCUAAUGACCUUCAGCCUGCUAACUCCAUGUGUGCCCAGCUGCUUGUUAGAGGUCAAGAAAUGCCUGGUUAAAAGCUCCUGCCCCAACUCCCACCCAGCAUGGCCAAGUCUCCUGAGACUUGCUUGGCAGCCCAACCACAUAUGGAGCUGAAUCACAGUACACAUUCCUCCACUGGGGUCCUCUCAAUGUUAGGAGACGACAUGGCCUGCCCCAAUGGACAUGGGAAUAGUUUUUCCAGAAAACAUAUUGACAUAUAGGAAGAAAGUUCUCUGCAUCAGCCAAUGCAGAGCCCUCAAACAGGGGUAGGAUGCAUCCAAACUUGUAUUAUUAUUAUUUAAUAAACAAGUUAUUGUGCCUUUUUCUUGAAUCCACAAUAGGAAAAAGGUAGAUGUGGCACCGAGGGAUAUGGUUAGUGGACGUGGUGGGGAUAGGUUGAUGGCUGGGCUAGAUGGAAAAGAUCUUAGCGGUCUUUUCCAAACUUAAUGAUUUUAUGAUUCUAUGAAGGAAUAAAUCAAACGGCUUUUUGCAUCCAUCAUCUCUUUAGACAGGACUUGCACAGUGCUCUCAGCUGCUGAAAAGCCUCACUAACCUAAUCUAAGUGAAAAUUUAACAAUCAAAUGGAGUUAUAAACUGCUAGUUAGAAUAGAACUUAGCUUUCACACCUCUGUUAGCUUUUCAUCAACCCUGCAAAAUUGCCACUGCCUGCAUGGACAGGAAUGGGUAAUAUUGUUUGAUGAAUGAAUAAAAUAUCAGGU
Molecule: long non-coding RNA, 1400 nt
Filed under: Gallus gallus (chicken)
Lineage: Eukaryota; Metazoa; Chordata; Aves; Galliformes; Phasianidae
Description: lncRNA (ENSGALG00010020371.1)
Source: RNAcentral